GGGUCGGUGCCCGAGCGGCCAAAGGGGACGGGCUGUAAACCCGUUAGCGCAAGCUUACGUUGGUUCGAUUCCAACCCGGCCCA
This 83-nucleotide transfer RNA is filed under the name Planctomycetes bacterium GWC2_45_44. RNAcentral's name for it is "tRNA-Tyr". It matches the Rfam family "tRNA". From Rfam's summary of the family: Transfer RNA (tRNA) molecules are approximately 80 nucleotides in length. RNAcentral also lists the same sequence under 3 other names. The record is from RNAcentral. Lineage: Bacteria; Pseudomonadati; Planctomycetota.